This 587-nucleotide ribosomal RNA is filed under the name uncultured bacterium. Its description in RNAcentral is "bacterial SSU rRNA". It matches the Rfam family "Bacterial small subunit ribosomal RNA", at positions 338 to 916 of the family's 1533-position model. The record is from RNAcentral.
CCUACGGGAGGCAGCAGUAGGGAAUCUUCCACAAUGGACGAAAGUCUGAUGGAGCAACGCCGCGUGAGCGAUGAAGGCCUUCGGGUCGUAAAGUUCUGUUGUCAGGGAAGAACAAGUACCGGAGUAACUGCCGGUACCUUGACGGUACCUGACCAGAAAGCCACGGCUAACUACGUGCCAGCAGCCGCGGUAAUACGUAGGUGGCAAGCGUUGUCCGGAAUUAUUGGGCGUAAAGCGCGCGCAGGCGGUUCCUUAAGUCUGAUGUGAAAGCCCCCGGCUCAACCGGGGAGGGUCAUUGGAAACUGGGGAACUUGAGUGCAGAAGAGGAGAGCGGAAUUCCACGUGUAGCGGUGAAAUGCGUAGAGAUGUGGAGGAACACCAGUGGCGAAGGCGGCUCUCUGGUCUGUAACUGACGCUGAGGCGCGAAAGCGUGGGGAGCGAACAGGAUUAGAUACCCUGGUAGUCCACGCCGUAAACGAUGAGUGCUAAGUGUUAGAGGGUUUCCGCCCUUUAGUGCUGCAGCAAACGCAUUAAGCACUCCGCCUGGGGAGUACGGCCGCAAGGCUGAAACUCAAAGGAAUUGACGG